CAAUUGUUGAGGAGUUCAUGGCAGAUGAAAAUGAAUAUAGCUCGACAAUUGAAGAGGUUAGUAUUUAUUUCAAUUACUUGCUGUUGUUGACAAUUGACAUACUAUGUUUCAAUUUAAUAUGCACUAUCUGUAGGGACAGAACCAAGCUGACAAUGAAGGAAAUGGUGAGGAUAGUGAGGAUGAGGGCAGCGAUAUGGAGUUAUGAUUUUUCUGCAGCUGUUCAUGGGAGUCUGUUUCACAAGUUUCAGUGCUCCGAAGCCUAAGAUGAUGCUUAAAUCUUGGUUUUCGACAUUUUGGCGCUAGCUGGUAGCUGCUACACUUAAUCCUUAAUGUAGUAAUGACAAUGUAGUUCUAUUUUGGAGAGGCAUGUACUAUUGUGACAUUUUGGCGCUAGCUGGUAGCUGCUACGACAUUUUGGCUGCUAGCUGGUAGCUAGUUCUAUUGUGAC
RNAcentral lists this long non-coding RNA (448 nucleotides) under Zea mays. Its description in RNAcentral is "long non-coding RNA (ZMAY_LNC001077)". The record is from RNAcentral. Lineage: Eukaryota; Viridiplantae; Streptophyta; Magnoliopsida; Poales; Poaceae.